This 229-nucleotide ribosomal RNA is filed under the name uncultured bacterium. Its description in RNAcentral is "partial 16S ribosomal RNA". It matches the Rfam family "Bacterial small subunit ribosomal RNA", at positions 568 to 796 of the family's 1533-position model. The record is from RNAcentral.
CGCGUAGGCGGCCUGGUAAGUCAGAUGUGAAAGCCCGGGGCUUAACCCCGGAAGUGCAUUUGAUACUGUCAGGCUUGAGUAUGGGAGAGGGAAGUGGAAUUCCUGGUGCAGAGGUGAAAUUCGUAGAUAUCAGGAGGAACACCGGUGGCGAAGGCGACUUCCUGGACAAUUACUGACGAUGAGGCGCGAAGGCGUGGGGAGCAAACAGGAUUAGAUACCCUGGUAGUCC